GAGGGUAUAGUUCAGUGGUAGAGUGUGUGCUUAGCAUGCACAAGGUCCUGUGUUCAAUCCCCAGUGCUUCCA
Molecule: transfer RNA, 72 nt
Filed under: Camelus bactrianus (Bactrian camel)
Lineage: Eukaryota; Metazoa; Chordata; Mammalia; Artiodactyla; Camelidae
Also listed under: 2 other names
Rfam family: tRNA
About the family: Transfer RNA (tRNA) molecules are approximately 80 nucleotides in length. Their secondary structure includes four short double-helical elements and three loops (D, anti-codon, and T loops). Further hydrogen bonds mediate the characteristic L-shaped molecular structure. tRNAs have two regions of fundamental functional importance: the anti-codon, which is responsible for specific mRNA codon recognition, and the 3' end, to which the tRNAs corresponding amino acid is attached (by aminoacyl-tRNA synthetases). tRNAs cope with the degeneracy of the genetic code in two manners: having more than one tRNA (with a specific anti-codon) for a particular amino acid; and 'wobble' base-pairing, i.e. permitting non-standard base-pairing at the 3rd anti-codon position.
Source: Rfam by way of RNAcentral